CCAGAACGAGAUGGGACGUAGUAACUCCACCUUACUUCUGAUUACUGAGUCUGCUGUUGAUAGAACAACAAUGAUAAUUCACAUCACCAGGUGGCCUCUGCUGGUUGUGAUGCUGAUUCUUCUGCUUCUCUUUUGUCUGUGGACGAGGAAGAAGAAAGCUGUGAGCUCCACCACUGAACCACAUGAGUCCAGAGAGGCUGUGGAGGUGAGACAUUUGUCCUCAGAGACAGAACUCACCAAAGGGUCAUCGUCUGUUGUUAUUAAGUCAUGAAGAUAAUUCAGAAGUAACUUCAUCACUAACAUCUUUCUCCUUUUGAACCACCAAUAUUUAUUUACCACGUUUACUGCAAAUGUCCUUUGAAUCCGAAGAGCGAUUUAAAGGACAAAGAGU
Non-coding RNA from Gasterosteus aculeatus aculeatus (three-spined stickleback), 391 nucleotides. NCBI's taxonomy places the organism in Eukaryota, Metazoa, Chordata, Actinopteri, Perciformes, Gasterosteidae. The record is from RefSeq and is a predicted model, not a curated record.